GCUACUGUGGCUCAGUCGGUAGAGCAGCUGAUUCGUAAUCAGCAGGUCAGGGGUUCGAGCCCCCUCAGUAGCUCCA
RNAcentral lists this transfer RNA (76 nucleotides) under Clostridiales bacterium. Its description in RNAcentral is "tRNA-Thr". It matches the Rfam family "tRNA". Rfam says of the family: Transfer RNA (tRNA) molecules are approximately 80 nucleotides in length. The record is from RNAcentral. Lineage: Bacteria; Bacillati; Bacillota; Clostridia; Eubacteriales.